Long non-coding RNA from Haliotis rufescens (red abalone), 920 nucleotides. RefSeq lists it as uncharacterized. The record is from RefSeq and is a predicted model, not a curated record. The transcript has 3 exons. NCBI's taxonomy places the organism in Eukaryota, Metazoa, Mollusca, Gastropoda, Lepetellida, Haliotidae.
GAACAGGUCCUUACUACUUCAUGCUUGAAGCACAGUGGAGAUUUGGUUCUUUCAGUCACUGGUUUGCCAGGACCCAACACAAUAAUUUACAGGCUGCAAUGAUGUAUCUGUAGUGUUGAGGCUUUAACAACGUACUCGUUUGAUAGAUACCCUAUGCAGGUGUGACCUUUACAGCGGUUAUGUUAAAUAGCCUCGUGCUAAUCAGUUAUCUCCUGUUACAAGUAACACAAGGAAAAGUUACAUCAUGCUUUAAAUCACUGUACUGGAUUUCCUUCAUGUAUUUAGGUGCUUGAAUUAUCUGUAAACUUCCUGAAGAAUAGCAUGGAUUGAUGUCAAGCGUUAUGGAAAUAUGUGGAAUAUUCUGUACUGUUCUAGUGACCCUGGACUGGUCAAACACUGCGUAGAAAGUACUGGAAGCUGGUUGGAUUAUAUAAGUGGAGCGGGUGCAUCCCUGUCUCAUCUCACAUUUCAUCUGAUAUUACAUCAAGACAAGCUUUUGUGUGAAGAUCUCGGAAGUUUGACCACUGUUGGGAUGAGGUCCUACUGCUGGGGUGAUCUAACACUGAAUGGACCAACUCCGAGAGAUAUUGAGAUUCCAUCAUUUGCAACAUCUGCUAUUAAUGUGAAGAAUAGUUGACACUGGACUGGUCAAACACUGUGUAGAAAGUACUGGAAGCUGGAUGAGUCCCUGUCUCACCUCACAUUUCAUCUGAUAUUACAUCAAGACCAGCUUCUGUCUGAAGAUCACUUUGGAUUCCUAGCCUAGGCCUAUCUCGGAAGCUUGACCACUGUUGAGGCAAGGUGAUUGUUAUUCUUGUCAUUGUCAUUAAUACUGCUCUCACCUUUUUAUUCUGCCAUUGAAUAUUGUGCUACCACUCAAUUGUGUACUGCCAUUGUAAUUGCUGUGUAGUAAUUCGUAA